GACGAACGCUGGCGGCGUGCUUAACACAUGCAAGUCGAACGGAAAGGCCCUGCUUUUGUGGGGUGCUCGAGUGGCGAACGGGUGAGUAACACGUGAGUAACCUGCCCUUGACUUUGGGAUAACUUCAGGAAACUGGGGCUAAUACUGGAUAGGAGCUCCUGCUGCAUGGUGGGGGUUGGAAAGUUUCGGCGGUUGGGGAUGGACUCGCGGCUUAUCAGCUUGUUGGUGGGGUAGUGGCUUACCAAGGCUUUGACGGGUAGCCGGCCUGAGAGGGUGACCGGCCACAUUGGGACUGAGAUACGGCCCAGACUCCUACGGGAGGCAGCAGUGGGGAAUAUUGCACAAUGGGCGGAAGCCUGAUGCAGCAACGCCGCGUGCGGGAUGACGGCCUUCGGGUUGUAAACCGCUUUCGCCUGUGACGAAGCGUGAGUGACGGUAAUGGGGAAAGAAGCACCGGCUAACUACGU
Molecule: ribosomal RNA, 467 nt
Filed under: uncultured bacterium
Lineage: Bacteria
Description: partial 16S ribosomal RNA
Rfam family: Bacterial small subunit ribosomal RNA
Source: RNAcentral